AAGAGAAGCCUUGAUGAUGCAUGUCACAUGUUUGAGGAAAUGCUCCUUAGAAAUGGUAAAUCGGAAGGAGUAGCAGCACAUGGCAAGCAACAGGGGUCCAACUUUUGAUGUCAAUGUAAAAGGCAAAUGAAAAUCGCCUCCUAAUGUGAAAGAGCAGAGUAAAGCAGAAGGAGUAUCAGUACAAAGCAAGCUACGGAGGUCCAAUAUUUGAUGUCAAGAGCGGACUGACAACACUGCCAAUCGAAGAGGGGGAGAAAGAGGGAUGUCGUGAGUCAUUUAGUCGUCGUAACAUAGCUUCUUUGUGCGUGGUAUUUCUGGGAUCAUUUCGACUUCAAAAGCUGCAACCGACGAAACAAAUUUGUACCACUCGUAGGUGUGGGAAGAUAAAGUAGAUUCUUCAUAAUUAGUUGGUUCUUCUAUCCAAGCCAAUUAUAAUGUGCAUUUAAUCAUUUAUUUGCUAUUAGAAACUUUUGUAAUUUUUCCUCAAAAGCAUUUUGUAUUUAUAUAUAUGAUCGGAGAAUAUUGCCGAUGAAUUAUUGAAAGUCUGAUCACAUUUUCAGUUCCGUUGUUGAUUUGAGAAAAAUAUUGCCAUUGUCACAUGUCUUAAAUAUACAGCUUAUUGUGCCGUUAUUCAUCACCAUCACAGAGUCAAGAUGCAAGGAGGACCUUGCCUUAGCAAAAAGAGCAAGGGAGUUGAAAGUUGUGAUUGCGAACUGGUGUGGCAUUGGAGCCUAGGGAUGGAGGGAAGAGAGAAGAGUAGAUAUGUCAUACUUGUGCUCAUGAACAGCCGAGGUGGUGGGCCCGUGGGCCGCACUGAGAGGUGCAUAUACAUAAUUUUAUAUGAACUAUACAUUUUGAAUAUAGCACAUCAUCAAUCUUAAAGCCCAGACUGAGAGGUGCUGAUUCAGAGUGUGGAUGCACCCAGCUGCAAGGAAGCAUUUUCCUGAACAUCUGCACCAACUGCAGGCUACAGCACAAGAUUUAAAGACUGACGUGAUGAUACAUUAACCAGAAGUUGUAUUACAACAAAUCAUAAUGGCGUUACACAAAUAUAGGCCGUAAGGGGUCGACACUGACAGGUAGAGACUAACAGGCAAUCUUAUGCCUGUCUUAGCUUACCUCUGAACGUUACAACAUGUAAAACCUA
Molecule: long non-coding RNA, 1147 nt
Organism: Brachypodium distachyon (stiff brome)
Lineage: Eukaryota; Viridiplantae; Streptophyta; Magnoliopsida; Poales; Poaceae
Exons: 3
Source: RefSeq, a predicted model, not a curated record